Molecule: long non-coding RNA, 250 nt
Filed under: Elaeis guineensis (African oil palm)
Lineage: Eukaryota; Viridiplantae; Streptophyta; Magnoliopsida; Arecales; Arecaceae
Description: long non-coding RNA (EGUI_LNC056773)
Source: RNAcentral
UUUCUCCAAACCCCCUCAACCAUCCGGACUUCUUCGACAAUGAACUUCUGCAUUCAUCCAUCGGGCCACCCCAAAGGCCCUCAAGGCCCCACUGUUAGCCGACCUUCUACAGCAACCGACUACCCUUGAACUUCUUUCGAACUUCAUCAGUAUCCGAGCUUCCCCAACAACGAGAUUUCUACAGUAACCAGACUCCUUCCAAGUUUCUACGAUGGUCGAAUGCCUUUCGAAUCCCUAUUGGGCUCCUGCG